Molecule: ribosomal RNA, 858 nt
Filed under: Enterobacteriaceae bacterium F25
Lineage: Bacteria; Pseudomonadati; Pseudomonadota; Gammaproteobacteria; Enterobacterales; Enterobacteriaceae
Description: partial 16S ribosomal RNA
Rfam family: Bacterial small subunit ribosomal RNA
Source: RNAcentral
GGGGAUCGAGCUACCUGCAGUCGACGGUAACAGGAAGCAGCUUGCUGCUUCGCUGACGAGUGGCGGACGGGUGAGUAAUGUCUGGGGAUCUGCCUGAUGGAGGGGGAUAACUACUGGAAACGGUAGCUAAUACCGCAUAACGUCGCAAGACCAAAGAGGGGGACCUUCGGGCCUCUUGCCAUCAGAUGAACCCAGAUGGGAUUAGCUAGUAGGUGGGGUAACGGCUCACCUAGGCGACGAUCCCUAGCUGGUCUGAGAGGAUGACCAGCCACACUGGAACUGAGACACGGUCCAGACUCCUACGGGAGGCAGCAGUGGGGAAUAUUGCACAAUGGGCGCAAGCCUGAUGCAGCCAUGCCGCGUGUAUGAAGAAGGCCUUCGGGUUGUAAAGUACUUUCAGCGAGGAGGAAGGUGGUGAGUUUAAUACGCUCAUCAAUUGACGUUACUCGCAGAAGAAGCACCGGCUAACUCCGUGCCAGCAGCCGCGGUAAUACGGAGGGUGCAAGCGUUAAUCGGAAUUACUGGGGCGUAAAGCGCACGCAGGCGGUCUGUCAAGUCGGAUGUGAAAUCCCCGGGUCUCAACCUGGGAACUGCUUCCGAAAAUGGGCAGGUCUUUGACUCUCGUAAAAGGGGGGGAAGAAUUCCAGGGUGUACCGGGGGAAAUGCCUAAAAAAUCUGGGAGGAAAAACCGGGGGCCAAGGGCGGGCCCCCCUGGACAAAAACUGACCCUCAGGUGGCAAAAGCCUGGGGGAGCAAACGGGAUUAAAUACCCUGGGAAUCCUCCCCCGUAAAAAAAGUUCAACUUGGAGGUUGUCCCCCUUAAGAAAUGGUUUCCGGAACUAACACGUUAAUUCGACC